RNAcentral lists this transfer RNA (88 nucleotides) under Actinomycetota bacterium. Its description in RNAcentral is "tRNA-Ser". It matches the Rfam family "tRNA". Rfam says of the family: Transfer RNA (tRNA) molecules are approximately 80 nucleotides in length. Their secondary structure includes four short double-helical elements and three loops (D, anti-codon, and T loops). The record is from RNAcentral. Lineage: Bacteria; Bacillati; Actinomycetota.
GGAGGGAUCGCAUAGUCCGGCCUAGUGCGCGGCACUCGAAAUGCCGUGGGGCUUCGUGCCCCCGUGGGUUCGAAUCCCACUCCCUCCG